This 31-nucleotide non-coding RNA is filed under the name Rattus norvegicus (Norway rat). The record is from RNAcentral. Lineage: Eukaryota; Metazoa; Chordata; Mammalia; Rodentia; Muridae.
UGCAAAUGUGAAAUACAAAAAGCUUAGUAGG